Molecule: long non-coding RNA, 849 nt
Filed under: Populus trichocarpa (black cottonwood)
Lineage: Eukaryota; Viridiplantae; Streptophyta; Magnoliopsida; Malpighiales; Salicaceae
Description: long non-coding RNA (PTRI_LNC003787)
Source: RNAcentral
UUUGUAAACAGUAUUAUAAUUUAGGGAUUUAAUUGAAAUUAAUCCAAAAGGGCAAAAUUAAAAGAAAAUUUUAAUUGCUUAGAGGUCCAAUUGCCGAAUUUCCAAAGAAGCAGGGGUCAAAAUGAAAAUGUGUCUUUUGGCCGAAACGUCGUCGUUGCUGGUGGAACAGUCGUGUGAUCUUCUUCAUCCCGAUUUAACCGGAGACCUGAAAAUCUGCAACAGAUCCAAUCAUGGACCACGUCUCUUGCCCAUGAUCUCGUUCGUGGAAGAUAACAGUCCUGCAAAGGUAGGACUGGUUAGAGGCAAGCUGCUGGGUCUCUAUAAAAGGGGAAGAAAAACCCAAAGUAGAGGACGAAGAAAACUCAAGUAAAACCCAGAGGAAAAACCCAGAAAACAGAGAGGGACGAACAGGCCAAGAACCGAGGGGUGAAAGACGAAAACAGGGAGGGGCAGAACUGAAGCUAAACCCAGACAAAAAACCCAAAAACAGAGCAAAUCACAGAAAAGAAACAGAGCAUAAACCCAAAAAAUAUAUAUACACAGAGAAGGAGAGAAAGGCAGAGGAGAGUCACAGAUCAGCCCUGCCAUUGUCUUCGUCCCUGCAAGAAAAAAAAGAAAACCAGUGAUGAACAACCCAGAACACUGAGAAGAGGAGAGAAAAUCAGAGGAAAAACCAUUGUCUUCGUUCCUGCAGAAAAAGAACAACUCAAAAAUCAGUCAAAAUAAAUCCAGCAGACGGUGGGCACAAGAGCAAAAGGGAAAGUAGAAGGAGGUAUACAGCAGACGAAAGUCACCACCAGCGUUCCAGCCAGAGCUUCGCCAUCGUCUCCGUCGCCUCUAACAAAGCAG